Molecule: non-coding RNA, 261 nt
Organism: Chiloscyllium plagiosum (whitespotted bambooshark)
Lineage: Eukaryota; Metazoa; Chordata; Chondrichthyes; Orectolobiformes; Hemiscylliidae
Source: RefSeq, a predicted model, not a curated record
AGAUUAUGUGACUGCCACGUUUCUUCUUCUGCUUUUUUCAGCAUUCUGCAUUUCUGAAGCAUUUCAGGAGAUAAUGACUGAAUUAUGCAGUACGAUCAUGCAGGUUGAGGAGUGGGCAUCACCAUUUGCAGGGUGGGACCAAUUUCUCCUGGCAACCUCAGAAAAUCUUCAAGGAUGGUUUCACUCAGCUGAUUAAAGAUCGGUGACAAAAAGACAAGAAAGUCAUUAAUGGAUACUUCUAAACUUUCAAGAAGCUGCAUA